RNAcentral lists this ribosomal RNA (596 nucleotides) under uncultured picoeukaryote. RNAcentral's name for it is "bacterial SSU rRNA". It matches the Rfam family "Bacterial small subunit ribosomal RNA", at positions 886 to 1482 of the family's 1533-position model. The record is from RNAcentral.
UCGCAAGGCUGAAACUCAAAGGAAUUGACGGGGGCCCGCACAAGCGGUGGAGCAUGUGGUUUAAUUCGAUGCAACGCGAAGAACCUUACCAAGGCUUGACAUACUACAGAUUUCUUUGAAAAAGGAAAGUGCCUUCGGGAAUGUAGAUACAGGUGGUGCAUGGCUGUCGUCAGCUCGUGUCGUGAGAUGUUGGGUUAAGUCCCGCAACGAGCGCAACCCUUAUUUUUAGUUGCUAAUUUAGUUUAGGUUUUCUAGAAAGACUGCCGGUGACAAACCGGAGGAAGGUGAGGAUGACGUCAAGUCAGCAUGCCCCUUAUGCCUUGGGCUACACACGUGCUACAAUGGUUAAGACAAAGAGUUGCGAGCUCGCGAGAGUCAGCUAAUCUCAUAAACUUAGCCUAAGUUCGGAUUGUAGGCUGCAACUCGCCUGCAUGAAGUCGGAAUCGCUAGUAAUCGCUGGUCAGCCAUACAGCGGUGAAUCCGUUCCCGGGCCUUGUACACACCGCCCGUCACACCAUGGGAGCUGGUCAUGCCCGAAACCGUUAGCUUAACCUUUAUGGAGAGCGGCGUCUAAGGUAGGGUUAGUGACUGGGGUG